AACGAACGCUGGCGGCAUGCCUAACACAUGCAAGUCGAACGAGACCUUCGGGUCUAGUGGCGCACGGGUGCGUAACGCGUGGGAACCUGCCCUUAGGUUCGGAAUAACUCCCCGAAAGGGGUGCUAAUACCGGAUAAUGUCUUCGGACCAAAGAUUUAUCGCCUUUGGAUGGGCCCGCGUUGGAUUAGCUAGUUGGUAGGGUAAAAGCCUACCAAGGCGACGAUCCAUAGCUGGUCUGAGAGGAAGAUCAGCCACACUGGGACUGAGACACGGCCCAGACUCCUACGGGAGGCAGCAGUGGGGAAUAUUGGACAAUGGGCGAAAGCCUGAUCCAGCAAGGCCGCGUGAGUGAUGAAGGCCUUAGGGUUGUAAAGCUCUUUUACCCGGGAUGAUAAUGACAGUACCGGGAGAAUAAGCGCCGGCUAACUCCGUG
RNAcentral lists this ribosomal RNA (433 nucleotides) under uncultured bacterium. RNAcentral describes it as "partial 16S ribosomal RNA". It matches the Rfam family "Bacterial small subunit ribosomal RNA", at positions 29 to 507 of the family's 1533-position model. The record is from RNAcentral.